Molecule: ribosomal RNA, 258 nt
Filed under: uncultured bacterium
Lineage: Bacteria
Description: partial 16S ribosomal RNA
Rfam family: Bacterial small subunit ribosomal RNA
Source: RNAcentral
AAAGAGAAGCGAGACUGUGAGGUGGAGCAAAACUCAAAAACCGGUCCCAGUUCGGACUGCAGGCUGAAACUCGCCUGCACGAAGUUGGAGUUGCUAGUAAUCGCAGAUCAGAAUGCUGCGGUGAAUGCGUUCCCGGGUCUUGUACACACCGCCCGUCACACCAUGGGAGCCGGUAAUACCCGAAGUCAGUAGUCCAACCUCGUGAGGACGCUGCCGAAGGUAGGAUUGGCGACUGGGGUGAAGUCGUAACAAGGUACC